Molecule: RNA transcript, 4171 nt
Organism: Ruditapes philippinarum (Manila clam)
Lineage: Eukaryota; Metazoa; Mollusca; Bivalvia; Venerida; Veneridae
Exons: 4
Source: RefSeq, a predicted model, not a curated record
AGUACUGUCAUAAGUCUUCGAAAUUCUUUAUUGCUGUCAAGGGAAAUAUUUUCGUUAUGUACAAUCUAUUGACGUUAUUUUAAAAUCUGUUUUUUACAUCCGGGUUUUGAAUCGGAAGUACUUAGAGGGACAAUAAAUAUCAGAUAUUUGUCGAAAUGAAAACGUUGAGAAAGGAUGACAAAAAGCUAACCGAAGAAUUGCUUGCAACAGAAAAUGAAUAUGAAAAGGUGUAUAAGGUCGCCGAGGAUUGGCUUCGUCAUAUUUAUAUGACUUGUAAAAGACAAUUUGUGUUAUGGAGAUAUGGACACAUCAAGGAGAUGCUAAAAGAGUGUAUUGAUUUUUUGGAACAUCCGGAGCAGUACGGUAAUGCACCUAUACCAAAAUACGUCAAGGACGCCAGCGAAGCACCGUUUGAGUAUAUUGAUAUCGAACAGUUGAAAACCAAAGAAGAAAUAGAGGCGGACAUACAGAGAAAAAAAGAGCGGAAAGAAAAGCUUGAUCAAAAGAUCAGAAGACUUAAGUUACUUGGGAAAAGCUACGAAGAUUCUAAACAAUAUAAUCCUUACAGAAGAUAUGGAGUGCUUAGAUCCAUCAUAAAGGAAAUUAUUCGAAACUAAUAUAAAGAAAUCAUUCGAAAAUAAUAUUGAAGCAAUUAUUCGAAACUUAUAUAUCAAACUCCGACGCAGUUGUCUCCCUUCGCUUCGCUACACAAUCAAAUGGGUGUGUUUUUAGUUUUAUUUAUACUGGGCGCCGGCUUUGCCAUAUGUCCCAGACUAUCGGCCUCUGUUACGGAGGACUUAGUUCGUCUUCAACGUCGCUGGUCGUAGAGCCGCAACGGAGGUCUUCUCAUGCCGUCUUUCGUCGUAGAUCUUUUCUAGGACCCAGUUCUUCGCUUCGAGAACGCAGUACACAAUAGGGGGAAAGGCACUUCUUCCGGGAGCAGCAGCUCUUUGUACGGCCACUCCCUUCGCCGUUGGUUAGGUCACACCAGCUAAGUGACCUAACUAGGUCAUCUAUCUGGUGUAACCUAUGCCCUCUGGGCGACGUGCACGCCGCGCAGGGAAGUCGGAGGACAAUCAAACGAGUGUGUGUUUGCGUUUGUUUACCCUCGCCACCGGAAAAAGACCAUAUGGGCAUAUUUACAUAAAAUUCGUAUAGUUCGUCAUUUGAAACAAGGCAAUUUAGCAGCAGCUGCUGAAAAUUCCUCUGUGUUCUUUAUACGGCAUAGGUCCAAUAUGGUUAUUAUUGGAUUGUGUCAGUAUUAUCGUUAUCACAAUGCAACAUUUUAUAGCAGAAAUACAAUUGAGCCGCGUCAUGACAAAACCAACAUAAUGGGUUUGCGACCAGCAUGGAUCCAGACGAGCCUGCGCAUCCGCGCAGUCUGAUCAGGAUCCAUGCUGUUCGCUAACCAACUUUAUUACAAGUAGAGGAACUGAUAGCGAACAACAUGGAUCCUGAUCAGACUGCGGUAGGCUAAAACUUAUUUUAUAGACACGAACAAAUAUAUUAUAAUAUAUUUUCUGAUCUUUGCAAUCUAAAUCGUACUGUAUAUAUCUGUAUGUAUUUUCCUGUAUAAAGUUAUUUUUAUAUACUAUAAUUCAUCUUACAGGGCACCGAGAUGUAGCGACUGCGUUUAGUUUUUAUACCAUAACAAUUUGAGUUUGAUACAUCGGAAUUUUGCAUGACUAGAGUUGCAUCAAAAAUAAUUUAUGUUCAUAUUUAUGACAGCCACACUUUAUCUUUGCAUAUCGUGGCUACUUCCUUAAAAAGACACUUAAAACGAGAAGUAUCUUUAAAAAGAUACUCGGCCGAACUAAAACUGGUCUAUUUGGGAAACAUGGAAAAAGAAUCAUAUGAAUUAUGAUGUUGAGCUAUUAUUGAAUUUUACUUUUAAAUCUUCUAAAUAUUAAAAUCAUAUGCAUAUGUUUGCAAACACAAAGUAUUUUAAUAGAAACAAAAUCUUAAGUCUAAAGAAAAUCCUUUAAAAGUAAUGAAGAAGUAAAUAAGAACUACAAACAAAAAAAAAAACAAUUUAUGUCGUACUCAAUUUUUUAGUGUAAGUUCAUUUUUACCGUCAUGUGAUUCUUUUAUUGGUCGUUUUAGCUCAAAGAAAAACAUUUAAGUUAUUGAAGUUUGUUCCAAUCGAAAUUUUAAUUGAAAGUUUAUAAAUGACAACAUUAUGUUGAUACGAAAUACCCGAAUCCUGCAACACCUUUGGAAAUAAGGAAAGAAACCUUUAAUCCGAAAAAAACGGAAGAGGGCCUUCUUAUCUAAAAUACUUUGGCAAACAUUUAUUAUAAUCAAACCAUUCAAUUGUUAGCGGUUAAAUAAAUACUUAAAUUUUUAUUGAAUAUGUCUAAUUUGAAUAAAAGAAUUAAUAAAAUAUGUAUGAGAAGCUGCGUUCCCUAUUACAGGACAAGUAAAGUUGGUCCUUUCUUGAAAAAAGAUGCCAGUUUUUUAAUGACACUAUAUAUUAAUAUCGUAACCACCUAUAUAUGUAUAGAACUUUAAACAGACAUAUCUACAUUGUAUCAAGUCAAAACGUGUUUAUUUUUUGUAUACAAAGAGACUUUGUAUCAAUUAUAAAAAAAUAAUAUAAAAUUUGAGCAUUUGUUUAAAUGGAUAGUAAAACAACUUAUGAAUGUAGAUAUUUUGUUUCCACGCUCCUCAAAAUUAGACGCGUGUAUCUUUGUCAGUGACAUCUCCAUGAUAUCAUUACAAAUGAGUUAGGGUUCCACAGGAAGGUGACUGUUGCGCUACAAAUCGAGUCAGUUAGAGUGACAUCCCCUGAUAACAUUGCAAAUUGGUAGGAGCUCCACAGGGACGUGACUCUUGCGCUACAAAUCGAGUCAUUUUGAGUGACCUCUCCUGUUAACAUUGCAAAUGGCGUAAGGGUUCAAAAGAGAAGUGACCGUUGCGCUAAAAAUAGUCAUUUACAGUGACCUACCCUGUAAACAUUGCAAACGGCGUAAGGGUUCGGUGGGAGGUAUCUGUUGCGCUCCAAUAAAGAGUUGAUUAGAGUGAACUCCCCUGAUAGAAUUGCAAAUGAUGUAAGGGUACAAAGAGAGGUAACUAUUGUGCUCCAAAAAAGUCGAUUAAAGUGACCUCCCCUGAAAAUAUUGCAAAUGGCAUAAAGGUUCAAAAGGGAGUUUACUGUUACACUAAAAAAGUGUCGGUAAGAGUGACCUCCCCUGAAAACAGUGCAAAUGGCGUAAAGGUUGAAAAGGGAGGUUACUUUUGGAAUAAAAAAGAGACGGUUAGAGUGACCGCCCCUGAAAACAUUACAAAUGGCGUAAGGGCUCUAAUGGGAGGUUACUGUUGCCUUUAAAAAAGAGUUGAUUAGAGUGAACACCCCUGAUAAAAUUGCAAAUGGCGUAAGGGUUGUAAAGGGAGGUAACUGUUGCCUUCAAAAAAGAGUUGAUUAGAGUGACCUCCCCUAUAACAAAUGGCGUAUUGGUUUAAAAGGGAGGUGAUUGUUGCGCUACGAAAGAUCCGGUUAGAGUGACCUUCCCUAUAAAGCAUUGCAAAUGGUGUAAGGAUUGAACAGAACUUUGCAUUAUUGAAUGUAAGAAGUUUAUAUUAUUAGUCUUAUUCUGUAUUUGAAGCUCCUCUUAAGUAAGAUUUUAUUUCUCAACGACUAAUAAUAUUUUUUCCCAAUUAUGAUUUUAAAAUCUAGACCAAAACGCCUUUGUUAAUGUUGUCAUUUUAUUAGGGAUUUUCGACCAUGGGACCACACACAUGCAUCGAGGACAUGUUUGAAGGAAGGUGACCGUGCGACCACAUACACGCAUCACAGGAUUCCCCUUCUCAUACGAGAAAGGGACAAAGAGAUGUCCGCCCUUUUAUUAAAGGGCAGACUUAAAAAAUGCCUUUGCCUUAUGUUAUUGAUAAGGAGGCUAAUUUUCAGAAAUAUCUUUGAAUUGGUUUAUAUACAGCAUAAGAAACGCAAACCAAGCGGGUUAUCAGUUAACGUCUUUGUAAGUCAGCUAUGAAAUUUUAAAAUGAUCAUAUAUAACUUCUUGGAAAAUUUUGAGUUUAAAGUUUUUUCUACUUCUUAUUUUAUGUAUAUAACAGAAUUAUUUUAAUUUUGCAAAACAUGAACGUUUCAAAAACGUUUUAUAUGCGUUUUACAUUGGAGAUAUAUUUCACACGUUGUUUUCACAUAUAAACC